RNAcentral lists this ribosomal RNA (404 nucleotides) under uncultured bacterium. Its description in RNAcentral is "bacterial SSU rRNA". It matches the Rfam family "Bacterial small subunit ribosomal RNA", at positions 355 to 771 of the family's 1533-position model. The record is from RNAcentral.
UGGGGAAUAUUGCACAAUGGGCGCAAGCCUGAUGCAGCAACGCCGCGUGAGGGACGACGGCCUUCGGGUUGUAAACCUCUUUUAGUAGGGAAGAAGCGAAAGUGACGGUACCUGCAGAAAAAGCACCGGCUAACUACGUGCCAGCAGCCGCGGUAAUACGUAGGGUGCAAGCGUUAUCCGGAAUUAUUGGGCGUAAAGAGCUCGUAGGCGGUUUGUCGCGUCUGCUGUGAAAACUGGAGGCUCAACCUCCAGCCUGCAGUGGGUACGGGCAGACUAGAGUGCGGUAGGGGAGAUUGGAAUUCCUGGUGUAGCGGUGGAAUGCGCAGAUAUCAGGAGGAACACCGAUGGCGAAGGCAGAUCUCUGGGCCGUAACUGACGCUGAGGAGCGAAAGCGUGGGGAGCGA